GGAGUCUAGCAUGUGCGCGAGUCAUUGGGACCGUGCGAAACCUAAAGGCGAAAUGAAAGUGAAGGUUUGCCUAGCGCGAACCGAGGGAGGAUGGGCCGCGCACGUCGCGGUCCCGCACUCCCGGGGCGUUUCGUUCUCAUCGCGAGAAGAGGCGCACCCAGAGCGUACACGCUGGGACCCGAAAGAUGGUGAACUAUGCCUGGUCAGGACGAAGUCAGGGGAAACCCUGAUGGAGGUCCGUAGCGAUUCUGACGUGCAAAUCGAUCGUCGGAACUGGGUAUAGGGGCGAAAGACUAAUCGAACCAUCUAGUAGCUGGUUCCCUCCGAAGUUUCCCUCAGGAUAGCUGGCGCUCGCUUUGCGAGUCUCUUCCGGUAAAGCGAAUGAUUAGAGGCAUUGGGGUCGAAACGGCCUCAACCUAUUCUCAAACUUUAAAUGGGUGAGAACUCCGGCUUGCUUGAACGUUGAAGCCGCGAGUUACGAUCUGAUAAAAGGAUCAGGGUGCCAAGUGGGCCACUUUUGGUAAGCAGAACUGGCGCUGUGGGAUGAACCAAACGCAGAGUUAAAGCGCCCAAAUCGACGCUUAUGGGAUACCAUGAAAGGCGUUGGUAACUUAAGACAGCAGGACGGUGGCCAUGGAA
RNAcentral lists this ribosomal RNA (639 nucleotides) under Pseudagrilus alutaceus. RNAcentral's name for it is "eukaryotic LSU rRNA". It matches the Rfam family "Eukaryotic large subunit ribosomal RNA", at positions 670 to 1259 of the family's 3401-position model. Lineage: Eukaryota; Metazoa; Arthropoda; Insecta; Coleoptera; Buprestidae. RNAcentral also lists the same sequence under 1 other name. The record is from RNAcentral.